This 4414-nucleotide long non-coding RNA is filed under the name Erythranthe guttata (spotted monkey flower). Its description in RNAcentral is "long non-coding RNA (EGUT_LNC002493)". Lineage: Eukaryota; Viridiplantae; Streptophyta; Magnoliopsida; Lamiales; Phrymaceae. The record is from RNAcentral.
UUGCACAAAACCAGGGCCUGUAAAACAACACUUUCUUGAUCAUUCUCAAAACCAGGCCUUUCUUGAAACCUGAUUGAUGAUGAUGAUGAUGAUGAUGAUAACCCUUCAGAUUUGAACUUCUUGCAUGAGUAGGGAUUUUCGCCGGCGAUCUUCUUCAGGCGGCUAGCGGCGGCGGAGGAAGGCGGUGAUGAGUUCUGGAUCAGGCUCACGGCGUGUGAAAUGGAAAUCUUGGCCUGGUUGAGAUGAGAAACGGAGGAGCUGACGGCGUUUAGAAUGUCCAGGGAGAUUAACGUGUGGCUGAGGUAACUCUCCGUUAGUUUGCCGCUCCACCGGCUCAUGGGGUGGUCGAUUUCCACCACCAGCUUCGCGAAAGCCCUGUUGGUGGUCUGAAUCAGCUCGAAACAUUUGUCGAACCCGGUCCGGGAGAGAAAGUACUUCUCGGGUUUCGACCAUGUUUGGGUGAUGAAACCGGAGAUUCUUGACCGGAAAUUGUGCAGAGAAGCUGACAGGUUGCCGGAGCUCCGGUGGUUGGAGGAGGGGAAUUUGAGGGGAAGGGCUAGUUUGUGUAGUAAGAGUACCAUGGGUUUAGAAAAGUACAACAGAAGUUUUUGGGUCCAAAGUUAUGUUUAUCUAAUUUGGUGUGUGUGUGUGUGUGUGUGUUUUGGUGUGUGUAUUGUAUCUAUAUAUAUAUAUAUAGGUAAGGAGUAGAUGGUUUUUGUCUGAAAACAAGUGGUGGUACCAAGUUUCUUGUACUGGUUUAUUGACGUGUUGACGUGUUGUUUUGUUUAAUGUUGGUUUGCUGGUCAAAGUCAAACAGUCUUAUCCGGUGCACACGCGCUGGGCCGCGAUUGGGUCUAUUUGGUGCUUCUUCUCCACGCUAAUCAUCAUCACCCGAUAAUUAUGAUUUAUUAUUCUCUCUUUUUGGAAGAUUUAAAAAUAUAAAGAAAGUAAACAAUACAAAUCAAGAACCCGGUUGAACGAGUUGAACCCAACGUGACUCAAAUGAAGUUUAAUUCCAAUUUUGCACCAUUGAAAUGAAGAUUUUUGACACUUUGCACCAUUGAAAAAUAAUAAUAGCACUUGGCAACAUUAAAAUACAAUAAAUUAUUCACAAUUCAUCAUAAAUUGAAUGAAAAUGAUAAUUCAUUUUUUAUUGGUCUUUUUUUUUUCUGCGAUGAAAAAUAAUAAAUUAAAUUGUUAUUUUCUUCAACCUCCAACCUAAUUUCUAGUACACAAAUGUCGAAAUGAUAAAAAUUACACUCGAUAACUGAAAAUAAUAAAUAAAAUCAAAUAAACUUUUUAUCAUUAAAUUAUUCGAUAAAUCAAAUAUUUUAACGUAAAAUUUAUGUAAUUCGGUUAUUUACCGAACCAAAUCGUAUAUUUAGUUCGGUAAAUGGUAUGAAAUGUUGACGUACCGAAAUUUUGUUGCGGUUUUACCAAAUUAAUAUCCCUAAAUUUACCUCUGGAGGGGUCUUUUCGUAAGAUAAAUACAUAGUUGAGGAGGUGGCUGUAACUACCCAAACAGGGGGGGGGGGGGGGGGGGGUUCGUAAUUUGACCAUAGCUCAGAGGGUGACCGUAAUUUGCCCUAAAUGUCAUCUACAUCUAUUCUCAAUCAAAAAUGUAUAUAUAUUUUUCAUGAUCUUAUGUUAAUAUUUAAAGAACUAAUUCAAUUAUAUAUGUAUUUCUAGUAUUUAUUAAUUUAUUUAUAGUUUAUUCAAUUAAUUGUAAGAAUAUAAUAUUUCAUUACAUUAAAAAAAAUUCGUUAAAGUUAACUAAGUUAUACAACGAAGGACUAUAUUGAAGUAGAGUUGAAGGAUGAUAAUGAGAUAAUUAGAACAUGAGAACCUAACGUAGGACUAAAUACUAAGACGAGGAAUUAUUAGUGAUUUACUAGUUAGCAAAAUUAUAUUGCAACUACCAUGCAGAGUGUUGAGUACUAUAGAGUCAAAUAAAUCAUAAACAUUUUAUUUCAUUAGUACUUUCUUUAUUACUAAUUAAUUUACAUCUUCUUGAUUUUCUCAGCUGUUGCAUUUACAGAUAUGUUACAUUUAUUAAUACUAGUUAAAUGUACAAGUAACUAAUUAAAGGGGUUAUAUGAGAUAACCCAUCAUACAAUUUCAUUAGAGGUUUAAAUCCAUUUUUAUAUUCACUAUUAGGAACAAUCCCUUACUUAGCAUAAUACCCAUUUAUCCCUAUUAUAUUCAUAAAAAAUAUUAAAAAUUAAUGUCAAUUAGAUUAAUAUAUGCAAACACCCACAUUCAGUUUUUUUUCUUUCGAUUUCCUUUAAAUAAAAAUUGAUUUUUUUUUAUUUCUACUUAAAAAAAAUAGUUAUUUAUUUAUUAUUUUUAGUUUUUUCAAUUAUUUUUAUUUGUUUAUUAUUUUUAAUAUUCGUUUUUUUUAAUAUUAAUUUUUUUUCGAUUUAUUCUUUUAAUUAAUAUUUUUUAUUGAUUUUUUUCACUUUACCAAAUUGAAAUUCACUAUACUUAUCGAAUUUCACUAUAAAUAUUUCAAAAUUUAAUGAAAUACUAUAAAAUUAACACAAUCCACUAUUUUACUGCCUGAAUUUGAAAUCCACUAUUCACUUUAUAAAUUUGAAAUCCACUAUUCACUGUUUGAAAUUCACUAUUUAUUGUCUGAAUUUUAAAACUAUUUAUUGUCUGAAUUUGAAAGCCACUAUUCACUGUUCGAAAUCCACUAUUUAAUGUCGGAUGAGAAUUCAAAAACCACUAUUUACUGUAAGCGCAUUGACACCCCUCCUCUAUUGCUCGCGCCUGCAUAGUAUAUUUUGUUUGAAAUCCACUACAAAAUUCAUCAAAAACACUACAAAAAUAUAUAAAUUCAUUAUAAAAGAAUCACUUUACAAAGAGAAAAUCCACUAAAAACUUGCCUAAAUCCACUACAAAAGUCCCUCUAAUAAACAAUGUCAUCGCAUACAAUAGUAGAUUCACCCGGGCAUCACCCAACCUCGUCCCACUUGUUGCCAUCACUCCUUGUGCAAGAACUUGAACCAAAGGAAAAGAAGACAAAUAACGUGUAAAUUUAAUUCAUUCAAAACAAAAUCGAUCUACAAAGCAAGAAUUUUAAAUCUACUACAAUCUCAUCCAAGCCCACUACAAAAAAUAUCGAAAUCCACCAAAAUAUUAACAUAAUCCACUGCGAAAUUACCCUAAUCCACUACAAAAUAAUUGCAAAAAUAUUAAUGUAAUUCACUACGAAAUUAAACUAAUUCACUACGACAAAUCCCCUUUUCAAAGACAAAAUUGAGUUCAAUUAUAUCGAAAUUCACUAAAAUAGUAGCGUAAACCACUACGGAAUUAACAUAAUCCACUACAACAAAUCACCUUUUCAGAGAGAAAAUCCAAUUCAAAACAAGAAUUACAAUCUAAUUACAAUCAAAUUAUUAUUUUUAGUUGAAAACCAUGAUUAUUCAUAGUUGAAGUCAAUAUCUCCAAUUUCCAAGUACUAUUUAUCUUCAUCAAAUAAUAAACAAAACUUAGAUUUUCAGGCCUAUAUGUGUCUCAUUCAUAAUUACAUUUAAAUUCAUAACAAUUUCACGAAUCGUGAAAUUUCAGCCAAUUAAAACACCAUAAAAUUGAGUAAUAUCAAAUAUGAACCAAAUUUAACGCAUGUGUAUGUUUGUCUAAUGAAUUUAAGAAUCAUAAUUAAAUAUGUGAGGGGUUUUCCCCUAAUUAAACCACUAAAAAUCAGAGGUAAUUAGGAAUUAAUUAUGUCCUGUACUUAGCCUAAGAUUGUCUAGCAACUUAUUUCUGGCAGCUAAAAUUUCCGAAAACAGAUGAUUCGUUUGCUUUUCGACGCUCUCGAUUAAAUUUUCCAUCUCGUUUAAUCGAAUCUUCAAUUCCUCCACCGAAAAUUCUUCGAUAGCCCUGUUUACUUGUCUCACCUCUUCCAUAACUAUUGUAUUUCCCUGGAUUUCUUGGCAGAAUGUCAAAUCCAGGUCUUUUAUCAGGGAAUCAUCGUAUCCUCCGGCGAGUUUCCUGAUUUCCAUGUACGUUUUCGCAUCGCCGCAAAAACCCGAUAAGACGAAACCGAGCGCCAUAAACCCGAUUUUCUCGGACAAAACCAGGGCCUGAAAAACGGCACUUUCUUGCUUGUCGGAACCAGGCCUUGAUUGAAACCUGAUUGAUGAUGAUGAUGAUGUCGAUUUGGGUUUGAAGUUCUUGCAUUGGUUUUCUCCGGCGAUCUUCUUCAGGUGGUUAGCGGACGAACUCACGGCGUGGGAAACGGAAAUCCUGGCCUGGUUGAGAUGGGAAACGGAAGAGCUGACGGCGUUUAGAAUGUCCAGGGAGAUUAACGUGUGGCUGAGGUAACGCUCCGUCAGUUUGCCGCUCCACCGGCUCAUGGGGUGGUCGAUUUCCACCACCAGCUUCGCGAAAGCCCUGUUGGUGAUCUGAA